Molecule: ribosomal RNA, 253 nt
Filed under: uncultured bacterium
Lineage: Bacteria
Description: partial 16S ribosomal RNA
Rfam family: Bacterial small subunit ribosomal RNA
Source: RNAcentral
UACGUAGGGUGCAAGCGUUACUCGGAAUUACUGGGCGUAAAGCGUGCGCAGGCGGAUCGUUAAGUAGGAAGUGAAAUAUGCGAGCUCAACUCGGAUGCUGCUUCCUAUACUGGCGAUCUUGAGUGGCGGAGAGGAAGAGGGAACGACACGUGUAGCGGUGAAAUGCGUUGAUAUGUGUCGGAACACCAAUGGCGAAAGCACUCUUCUGGACGCCAACUGACGCUCAUGCACGAAAGCCAAGGUAGCAAACAGG